CCAGAUCCUAAAAAGCGCUUGACUGCUCAGCAAGUGCUUGAACAUUCCUGGCUACAAAAUGCAAACAAAGCUCCAAAUGUCCCAUUGGGGGACAUUGUGAGAACAAGGCUCAAGCAAUUUUCAUUGAUGAAUAGAUUUAAGAAGAAAGCAUUGCGAGUAAUUGCUGAACACCUAUCCCUUGAAGAGGUUGAAGUAAUCAGAGACAUGUUUACAUUGAUGGACACUGACAAUGAUGGUAAAGUAACUUUUGAGGAACUAAGGGCUGGUCUUCGGAAGGUUGGUUCUCAACUGGCUGAACCAGAGAUAAAGAUGCUGAUGGAAGUGGCUGAUGUUGACGGAAAUGGUGUACUGGACUAUGGAGAGUUUGUAGCUGUAACAAUUCAUUUGCAGAAAAU
This 395-nucleotide unclassified non-coding RNA is filed under the name Hevea brasiliensis (rubber tree). Lineage: Eukaryota; Viridiplantae; Streptophyta; Magnoliopsida; Malpighiales; Euphorbiaceae. The record is from RNAcentral.